This is a long non-coding RNA of Ahaetulla prasina, 5611 nucleotides long. RefSeq lists it as uncharacterized. NCBI's taxonomy places the organism in Eukaryota, Metazoa, Chordata, Lepidosauria, Squamata, Colubridae. The record is from RefSeq and is a predicted model, not a curated record. The transcript is spliced from 3 exons.
GCUGGGCCUCUCAAAGAGAAGGAGGGAGGAGUGCGCCUUCUGAAUCGGAUCGCAGCCUGUGCCUUUGGGCCAUAAGGAAAGCAGAUCCGGAAGAACAAUGAAGUCCUGGGCUUGUUUGUUUUCACGACAAUUAAGGGAAUCUUUUGUAACCACUCCAGGGUUACGCACAGAAGUUUUUGCUUUAUACUAAACAAACCCGAAAAAUCCUUUUGGGCAACAGUCAAGUUCUCUUGCUCCAACGUUUUGGAUUGGUUGCUUCGGAUUACUUCUUUGGGAAAGAAUGCUGCCUACCUCCUCUCCUUUAUCCAAAGCGGCUGGAAAAACAGGCGGGGAAAUUCUUCAAAUGUCCUAUUAACUAGUAUAAUAAUAAUAAUAGCAGGAGUCUAGUGUAUUUUGGCAUAUUGAGUUUUAUUUCCAGUCCUGUAGCUUAGAUGUACUUUUUUGUGCCUUCAAGUCAACCUUGCCUCCAGAUCUGUCUCCCACCCAUCCCCUCCAAAACAAAAGAUGACACCAACUUCUCUUCAGAUUUUCUUAAAGCAAGAGCUCUGCUAGCUUACGUGUGAACAAAGAUGCUUCUCACUAUUUUGCUUGAACAGUAUGGUGAAACACAUUAAUCCGUUAAGGUGUAACACCAUUGUUUUUCCUUGCACUUGCAGAAAAUAAGAAAAGUCUUGAAUACAGUAGGGAUUUUGUUGUUUAUUUGCCCAUUUUCCAAUGUUUGUCAGUUUCAAUCACUUUUAAACCCCUUCCCUAAGCAAAGAGGAUUGUCUACCAACUAUUCAUUUUCAAUUGGGACACUAUAGGAUCCAGCUAGCUGCAAAAUCAUGAUGAGAUCUACUUCCCUCUUCUCUAGAGCUAUUUCUGCCCUAGGAUUUCCCCAUGAUGUUUGCUUAUUUCCUGUUACUUUAACUUUGGAAAUAGAAUGUGAGGCAAAAAAUAGGCAAACCAACCUAGAAAAGUACAAACAAGAAUCUUAAGGCAAAUCCUAUUCCUGCUGCAGUAGCUUGAUGGGUAGAUGUUUUUUAUUGCUGGCUUGUGAAAUGUAAAAGGAGAUGGUGGUUUGCCUUGCCCAGAAUGACCGACUACCAGAAUUGCUACCAGAAAAGCACUUUCAUUUUUAUUUUUAUGAAGUUAAAGAUAUAAUGUCAUUUCUUGUGCUAUCUACCUGAUGAUGCAAUCCAUCAAUAAAAUAGAUGCAUCCUCUACUUACAAACAGCCAAAGUCUGUUUCAGAAAUUAGAGAACUUUCUACAGCUGAUCUAGGGAAGAGGAAGGAAGACUUUCAAGUGAAAGGCUACUUCAAGUUGGAUUGACCCCAUGGGAAGCAGGGGUAAAAUGCUCCCAGUCGGACCAGAUUGGCCAAUCCAGUAGCGAUGGCAGGUGGUUCAAAGAACCAGUAGCAAAAAUCCCUUCCCCCCACCCACCCGGCCCCCCAUCCAUGCCCAGCUGAGCCGCGCGAUCAUCAGAGUCUUUUUUUUUUACUUUUAAAAGCAUUUUUUCUACAAUCUCUUCGGCCGAAUAGGUUGUAAAAAAAAUGCUUUUAAAAGUAUAAAAAAAGAUUGCGCGCCACAGUUGAUCACCACCCCAUGUGCUGUCCUACUUACCACAUGCCUCCUUUUGCCAUGCACUGUGUGCGCACACCUCGCAUUUGGUGCCUGGUGCGCACUGCGCAUGCGCGCGCAGCCCACAUGCACAGCCAGGGAACCAGUAGUAAACCGGUUCCGAUUUCACCACUGAUGGGAAGCUAUUGUGUUUGAAUUUGGCCACUGUUUUCAACUGGUCUUGCAUUAUGCACAAAGACUGGUGGCUUCAUUCAGGAUUUAAGAAAGGAUUUUUUUCCCUCAGUCCUGCUUUGUUGUCAGAAAAUAAACUUAGAACUUUCUGUAUGCAAAGCAUGUGCUCUGCAGGAAUGACAAUUUGCCACUUGGCAGAAUGUCAUCUCUGAUCAAUUCUCAUCUGUGGUAGGUAAGUGGCCACCUGUACCUAUCUAAGCAGCCUCUUCCCUAUUUAAUUAGUGUAUGAGCAGCUAUGUGAUCUGAAUCCACCCUAAGCAGAUGAAUCACAAAUUUUGCAAAGGAGGAGGGUCUUACAAAUUUGGAACAUCAUUCCUCUUCUAAUUUGGUAGGACUUAUCUAAUUUAGAGGUGGUCAGAUGGCAGCCUAAGAGCCAGAUGUGGCUCCGUAUAUAUUUUACCUGUCCCUUACUUUUAAAAAACAUACCUUAACAUAUAUAUUUCUAGGGUAAAUUUUGCAUGCAGGACAUAAGCAUUAUUGUGUGGAAAAACUACAUCUGAGCAUAAGUGUUUCAAAGCUGGAAAGCUUUUACUUCUGGACAGUGCCAAUUUUUUUAUGAAGCUAAUCACCCUCCACCCUAUCUCACCUGAAUGCAGGUGGCCAAUGCUACAAAUGAUGAUAAUCUUUUGCUCUAGAGAAUCAGAUCAAAAUAUCCCAUCAUCUCCAUAAGUAACAUGCUUCAUAUGGGAAAAGAAAAGAAAAAUAAUUCUGAUUAAGCUUUUCUGCUAUUUACCCUUCUCACACUGGAUGAUUCAUAUGGAAACUGAAAGUCUGGUUCCAAAACAAAUGCUAAAGAAACUGCCAAUUUUUCUGUUGGACCAAGUCCUGCUCAAAUUUCAAACUAAAGUGCAGAGGAUGAUUAUUAAUGUUCAACUACCAAAACCUUUGCUAUUCCUUUGACUUAAAAUGAUCUAGUGGUCUAGUUCACAUAUAACACUAAACCAUAAUGUUUUCAGCUUAUAAGAAUCCACAUUGUGGAUUCUUUGUGGCUUGGCAAUAUGUGUGAAAGCAGUUCUAUAUUAUUUCUCUCUCACACAGGCUUCAAAUUGUUUCAUAAUAAACUGCAGUUAUCUUAUUUCCACUGAUGCAUUCAAGAUUAUGUUGCAAUUGAAAUUCCCAGAAUUUUAAUCCAUCUAUUGGCAAUAGCUGGGGUUUUAACUAGGGUUUUCAAGAGUUGUUGCUCCAGCACAUCUGGAGAAAAUAUUGUAGUAGAAAAUUUUGUGACGCUGUUUAUGGAUGAUCACAACGGUAAUAAUAUAAUUCUAGACACUUCAAAAAUUCUGUGGUAUUAUUUAGUAUGGAGAAAAUUCAUUUUCAAAGAACGAUGGUUUGAGUGUUGGGAAAAGAUAUUUGUGAGAAAAGGCAGCAUGAGUUUUCCAACAGCCUCAAAAUCUCAAAUCACCACAUUCUAAAACUUAAAGGUGAAAUAUACUAGUUGAUACAGAUAGAAACGAAAUAUACUAAUCGACAUAGGACAUUCAUUUUCAGGCAAUCAUUUUAGUCCAGUUUUAUGUUCUCUGUCUUUUAUACUAACCAUACACUGUACAAGAUAUAACUUUUAAUAUUUUCAUUGAUUUGUGUGGGGAUUUUUGUGGUUUAACAACCAUUUUUUAUGAUUGUAAAAGAAAAAGAUUACAGUUUAAUUUCAUUAUAUUUUAUAUUUUGCAUUAUUCUGCUGAAAAUAGCCAGAAAAAUUAGGUGGUUAGAACAAAACUAUCCUCAAACAGGUCUGCUGGAAGUAAGGAAUGGAAUAACAUAUUGACAAUUGAUGGCUUGAUCCACACAUCAUACCAAACCCAAAUCUGGUUUGCUUAUAGUUACAAUAAAUUCAGCUCUUUGGUUUAUAAAUCAUGGUUUAUAGCUAUAUGCUAUGUGAGAUCAGCAACAGUAUCUUAUUCAAAAAACUAUUGUGACGUAAAGAGUUUGUUCACACAUUGCUCUAUCUACAAAAUCUCCCACCGGUAAUUCUACCUAUCCCCAUAAUUUUUCACCACAGACCCCAGCAAAUUUUUCCUCAUAUUUUUAAUCCUUUGUCCACUAUUUUGGCAGUCCCUUUUUGCCUCUGCUCCAUGCCUUUUCAGGGAAGAAUAGGUAAUAAGGGAUCAGAUUCUGAAGACUAUGAUAAUCACUAUAUGAUAGUUACAGAAUGCCAUGCUAUCUUAAUACAGUGAUGGCAAACCUAUGACACAUGUGUCAAAGGUGACACACCAUGACGUGUUGUGUGGCAUGCAUUCACCAAUACCCAACAACUAUACUUGAAAGUACAUCCUCUUCUUGCACAGUUUUUGGAGGCUGCAGAGUCCAUUCUGUGAAGAGUGAAGAGCAUUCACUGAAGCCAGUUCAGGAACGAAGCCUUCAUGCAACCGGGAGCAGCUUCUAGAAGGCGGCAGGGGCCUAUCAACAGACAGAGAACACCACCUGAGGAUUCAAUACUGACAUUUGCCAAAGAUUUCAAUGCUAGGAUGGGAUAAUGAAACUCUUCUUCAAUACUAUAAUACCUCAUUUGCUCUUUGAUUGGUCUGUCCUCAUGGAAAUCUAAAGAUGCCAGAUUCAACCGAGCGGAAUGGAGACUGUUGCAACUGAUGAUAAAACUCAACAUGAAAAUUCUUCAUGAAUCUAUGAAACAGAGGGCAAACUAACAUUUUGGGGUUCUAUGGGGACUUUUGUUUUAGAUUACAUGCUAAUUUCUAAUGGUUUUGCCUCCUAUUACAAUCAUUUGUAUAUCUUUCCUCUGCUGGUGAACAUUGAUUGAUUGAUUGAUUGAUUCACCUGGGUCUUUCCAACUAGCAAAUGCUCACCUAUCAGUAGCAGAUUCUUCGCUAUUAGUUUAAUUGAGUGGAGCCAAUCUUUACAAGCCCUUGAUUCCCUUGGUAUUCCCCUCUGUUGGUGUCCCACAGACCUUGGGCUACAAUGGUUGGUGCCCCCUUUGUUGGAUGCCAAUUGCUGGCGGGAAGUUUUGGGGGUUUCCCAGGUUUGCCAUUUUUCUCUUCUUUCUUUUUCUUAUUCAAGACUGGUUCUGCUUUUAUCUCUGUUGUACAGCCUUUAAAUUGUUUCGGUUUAUUGUGAUAAUUUGGAAUUGGGUGACAUUUAAGUGAAUAAAUAAAUUAAACAAUUAUUUUCAUCCGUAUGGUCCCAAUAAGCUGCCUGUGGUUAUGGCUCAAUUCUUUGUAGCCUCAGCAGUUAAUUGUUUGAAAUAAACUGUAAGUGUGAGUAACAAGGCCUGUUAAACAAUCACUAUAUGCCAACAAAUUAUUAUUUUAGCUCAAAACAGCUGGUAAAGAUAUAAUUUUACCAGAAUUUCUAAAAUCUAAUCUUAUUUGGUGGGCAUCUGUGCUAGCUUCCCUUUUUAUUGCCAUAAAUAUUUUACAAUUCUCUUUUUAAAAAAUCGAUCAUACAAAAAGAAAACAAGUCAAAUCAUCACUCUAUUAGCAAUAGCAAUAGCACUUAGACUUAUACCGCUUCAUAGUGCUUUUACAGCCCUCUCUAAAAAGUUAGCCCUUUAUCUGUCAUGAAAAUUAAUUAUAAUCCAAGUUUUUAUAGUAUAAAGUCUUGAAAUAGAUAUUUUCUAAUAACACUUUGGCUCCAGACUAGGCGAGCUUUAGACCUUGCCAUUUAACUAUGGAUCAAUGUACAUAUUGCAUCACCUACCUAAGAAAUAUAGUCUCUCCAGUUGCCCACACUAUAUCACUUUCACAGACCUCAAGGCAGCCUUUGCUUCUAUAUGACAUGAGAGACUUUGGAAAGAAUUAGCCAUAACACUGAUUCAUCAUCUUCCUAAACUGAUAAUAUAUCUUUAAUUUGUCACCACCAUGCAAAUCA